Molecule: ribosomal RNA, 163 nt
Filed under: Veronica alpina
Lineage: Eukaryota; Viridiplantae; Streptophyta; Magnoliopsida; Lamiales; Plantaginaceae
Also listed under: 3 other names
Description: 5.8S ribosomal RNA
Rfam family: 5.8S ribosomal RNA
About the family: 5.8S ribosomal RNA (5.8S rRNA) is a component of the large subunit of the eukaryotic ribosome.
Source: RNAcentral
UCUAAACGACUCUCGGCAACGGAUAUCUCGGCUCUCGCAUCGAUGAAGAACGUAGCGAAAUGCGAUACUUGGUGUGAAUUGCAGAAUCCCGUGAACCAUCGAGUCUUUGAACGCAAGUUGCGCCCGAAGCCUUUUGGCCGAGGGCACGCCUGCCUGGGCGUCA